CAGUCGCCACGGGAAAACGAAGGGUGCAAGCGUUAAUCGGAAUUACUGGGCGUAAAGCGUGCGCAGGCGGUUUGUUAAGACAGAUGUGAAAUCCCCGGGCUUAACCUGGGAACUGCAUUUGUGACUGGCAAGCUAGAGUAUGGCAGAGGGGGGUGGAAUUCCGCGUGUAGCAGUGAAAUGCGUAGAUAUGCGGAGGAACACCGAUGGCGAAGGCAGCCCCCUGGGCCAAUACUGACGCUCAUGCACGAAAGCGUGGGGAGCAAACAGGAUUAGAUACCCGCGUAGUCCCUGUCUCUUAUAA
This 301-nucleotide ribosomal RNA is filed under the name uncultured bacterium. RNAcentral's name for it is "partial 16S ribosomal RNA". It matches the Rfam family "Bacterial small subunit ribosomal RNA", at positions 509 to 809 of the family's 1533-position model. The record is from RNAcentral.